This is a long non-coding RNA of Globicephala melas (long-finned pilot whale), 449 nucleotides long. RefSeq lists it as uncharacterized. NCBI's taxonomy places the organism in Eukaryota, Metazoa, Chordata, Mammalia, Artiodactyla, Delphinidae. The record is from RefSeq and is a predicted model, not a curated record.
GUUUGGAAUCCAGGACCCCUAAUUCCCGGGGCAGCCAGCUGCACCACGUUUUAGCCAAUCUCCUGCAGCAGUCCAGGAUGAUGACCCCAUGCCUGGGACGUGCAGUCCCCAACCCAAGUCUCUUUGAGCAUCUGCCUGGGAGAUGCCGGUGUUUACCCAGGGUGAGUUGGAGGGGCCUGGAUGCUGAACCCAGUUCUUGGGAAUUUGGACAGCUGUCCCUGGACAGCCACCAAGACUCUGCCUCCCAGACCAAGAUGGAGAGCCGAGCAUGUGGCAGCUACAGGUCAGUUGCUCAUCCAUUUUCCUUGAGGCCUCUGGCAGGAGGCUGGAGAGCCCGACGCCCCCAGGGGGUGCUGCCAUCAACAUUAGUCCUGGUGACAGGAGGACAAAUCAAAGCGCUGCACGCUACCGGGAAGAAGAUAAAUCUGGCAAAAGGCUAAUGAGUAAAC